Lonchura striata (white-rumped munia) is the source of this 124-nucleotide non-coding RNA. NCBI's taxonomy places the organism in Eukaryota, Metazoa, Chordata, Aves, Passeriformes, Estrildidae. The record is from RefSeq and is a predicted model, not a curated record.
CCGGGGCUCAGUCCCUGAGGGCCGGGCGGAUGGCGGGAAAGGGCGGCAGGACAAGACGGGAGCUGUGUUGGAACACGGGAACAGACACAGUUCUGGAGAACCAGGCCUGUUGUGCAGCUCCUGG